This 474-nucleotide ribosomal RNA is filed under the name Dialister pneumosintes. RNAcentral describes it as "bacterial SSU rRNA". It matches the Rfam family "Bacterial small subunit ribosomal RNA", at positions 377 to 846 of the family's 1533-position model. Lineage: Bacteria; Bacillati; Bacillota; Negativicutes; Veillonellales; Veillonellaceae. The record is from RNAcentral.
GAAAGUCUGACGGAGCAACGCCACGUGAACGAAGAAGGUCUUCGGAUUGUAAAGUUCUGUGAUUCGGGACGAAAGGGUUUGUGGUGAAUAAUCAUAGACAUUGACGGUACCGAAAAAGCAAGCCACGGCUAACUACGUGCCAGCAGCCGCGGUAAUACGUAGGUGGCAAGCGUUGUCCGGAAUUAUUGGGCGUAAAGCGCGCGCAGGCGGUUUCUUAAGUCCAUCUUAAAAGCGUGGGGCUCAACCCCAUGAGGGGAUGGAAACUGGGAAGCUGGAGUAUCGGAGAGGAAAGUGGAAUUCCUAGUGUAGCGGUGAAAUGCGUAAGAUUAGGAAGAACACCGGUGGCGAAGGCGACUUUCUAGACGAAAACUGACGCUGAGGCGCGAAAGCGUGGGGAGCACAGGAUUAGAUACCCUGGUAGUCCACGCCGUAGACGAUGGAUACUAGGUGUAGGAGGUAUCGACCCUCCUGUGC